UAGAGUUUGAUCCUGGCUCAGAAUGAACGCUGGCGGCGUGCUUAACACAUGCAAGUCGCACGAGAACUCUUUAGCUUGCUAAAGAUAGUAAAGUGGCGCACGGGUGAGUGACGCGUGGGUAAUCUACCUCUGAAUCGGGGAUAACACCGCGAAAGCGAUGCUAAUACCGGAUAAUAUCUUUUAAGCUUCGGCUUACCAGAUCAAAGGUGGCCUCUACAUGAAAGCUACUGUUUGGAGAUGGGCCCGCGUACCAUUAGCUUGUUGGUGGGGUAAUGGCCCACCAAGGCAUCGAUGGUUAGCUGGUCUGAGAGGAUGAUCAGCCACACUGGAACUGACACACGGUCCAGACUCCUACGGGAGGCAGCAGUGAGGAAUUUUGCGCAAUGGGGGAAACCCUGACGCAGCAACGCCGCGUGAGUGAUGAAGGCCCUCGGGUCGUAAAACUCUGUCAAGUGGGAAGAACCUGCUUUAUGUUAAUACCAUAUUGCACUGACGGUACCACUGAAGGAAGCACCGGCUAACUCCGUGCCAGCAGCCGCGGUAAUACGGAGGGUGCAAGCGUUAUUCGGAAUUAUUGGGCGUAAAGAGCGCGUAGGCGGUCUUUUAAGUCAGAUGUGAAAGCCCGAGGCUUAACCUCGGAAGUGCAUUUGAAACUAAGGGACUUGAGUAUGGGAGAGGGAAGUGGAAUUCCUGGUGUAGAGGUGAAAUUCGUAGAUAUCAGGAGGAACACCGGUGGCGAAGGCGACUUCCUGGACCAAUACUGACGCUGAGGCGCGAAGGCGUGGGGAGCAAACAGGAUUAGAUACCCUGGUAGUCCACGCAGUAAACGGUGAACACUAGGUAUAGCGGGUAUUGACCCCUGCUGUGCCGUAGUUAACGCAUUAAGUGUUCCGCCUGGGGAGUACGACCGCAAGGUUAAAACUCAAAGGAAUUGACGGG
This 939-nucleotide ribosomal RNA is filed under the name uncultured Pseudomonadota bacterium. RNAcentral's name for it is "bacterial SSU rRNA". It matches the Rfam family "Bacterial small subunit ribosomal RNA", at positions 1 to 917 of the family's 1533-position model. The record is from RNAcentral. Lineage: Bacteria; Pseudomonadati; Pseudomonadota.